UGGGGAAUUUUGCGCAAUGGGCUAACGCCUGACGCAGCAACGCCGCGUGGAGGAUGAAGGUCCUUGGAUUGUAAACUCCUGUCAGCAGGGAAAAAGCAACCUGACCUCAUACGUCAGGAAGUUGAUUGUACCUGCAGAGGAAGCCCCGGCUAACUCUGUGCCAGCAGCCGCGGUAAUACAGAGGGGGCAAGCGUUAUUCGGAAUUAUUGGGCGUAAAGGGCGCGUAGGCGGCCUGGCAAGUGGAUGGUGAAAUCCCUCGGCUUAACCGAGGAACUGCCAUCCAGACUGCUUGGCUUGAGACCGGGAGAGGUGAGUGGAAUUCCCAGUGUAGCGGUGAAAUGCGUAGAUAUUGGGAGGAACACCAGUGGCGAAGGCGGCUCACUGGACCGGUACUGACGCUGAUGCGCGAAAGCGUGGGGAGCAAACGG
Molecule: ribosomal RNA, 428 nt
Filed under: uncultured bacterium
Lineage: Bacteria
Description: bacterial SSU rRNA
Rfam family: Bacterial small subunit ribosomal RNA
Source: RNAcentral